Molecule: ribosomal RNA, 492 nt
Filed under: uncultured bacterium
Lineage: Bacteria
Description: partial 16S ribosomal RNA
Rfam family: Bacterial small subunit ribosomal RNA
Source: RNAcentral
AGUGAACGCUGGCGGUAGGCCUAACACAUGCAAGUCGAACGGCAGCACAGUAAGAGCUUGCUCUUACGGGUGGCGAGUGGCGGACGGGUGAGGCAUACAUCGGAAUCUACUUUUUCGUGGGGGAUAACGUAGGGAAACUUACGCUAAUACCGCAUACGACCUACGGGUGAAAGCAGGGGAUCUUCGGACCUUGCGCGAUUGAAUGAGCCGAUGUCGGAUUAGCUAGUUGGCGGGGUAAAGGCCCACCAAGGCGACGAUCCGUAGCUGGUCUGAGAGGAUGAUCAGCCACACUGGAACUGAGACACGGUCCAGACUCCUACGGGAGGCAGCAGUGGGGAAUAUUGGACAAUGGGCGCAAGCCUGAUCCAGCCAUACCGCGUGGGUGAAGAAGGCCUUCGGGUUGUAAAGCCCUGUUGUUGGGAAAGAAAAGCAGCAGGUUAAUACCCCGCUGUUCUGACGGUACCCAAAGAAUAAGCACCGGCUAACUUCGUG